This 675-nucleotide ribosomal RNA is filed under the name uncultured archaeon. Its description in RNAcentral is "bacterial SSU rRNA". It matches the Rfam family "Archaeal small subunit ribosomal RNA", at positions 183 to 856 of the family's 1478-position model. The record is from RNAcentral.
UAGGUCUAAAGUUCCGACGCCUCAGGAUGGGUCUGCGGCCUAUCAGGGUAGUAGUGGGUGUAAAGUACCUACUAGCCUACGACGGGUACGGGUUGUGAGAGCAAGAGCCCGGAGAUGGAUUCUGAGACACGAAUCCAGGCCCUACGGGGUGCAGCAGGCGCGAAACCUUUACAAUGCUGGCAACAGCGAUAAGGGGACCUCGAGUGCUACGAUACAAUCGUGGCUGUCUAGUUGCCUAAAAAGCAAUUGAUAGCAAGGGCCGGGCAAGACCGGUGCCAGCCGCCGCGGUAACACCGGCGGCUCGAGUGGUAACCGCUAUUAUUGGGUCUAAAGGGUCUGUAGCCGGCUUAGUUAGUCUCUUGAGAAAUCUGGCCGCUCAACGGUCAGGCGUUCAGGGGAUACUGCUAAAGCUCGAGACCGGGAGAGGUGAGAGGUACUUCAGGGGUAGGGGUGAAAUCUUGUAAUCCUUGAAGGACCACCAGUGGCGAAGGCGUCUCACCAGAACGGAUCUGACGGCAAGGGACGAAAGCUAGGGGCACGAACCGGAUUAGAUACCCGGGUAGUCCUAGCCGUAAACGAUACUCGCUAGGUGUCGGCCACGGUGCGACCGUGGUCGGUGCCGUAGGGAAGCCGUGAAGCGAGCCACCUGGGAAGUACGGCCGCAAGGCUGAAACU